Long non-coding RNA from Arachis ipaensis, 2378 nucleotides. RefSeq lists it as uncharacterized. NCBI's taxonomy places the organism in Eukaryota, Viridiplantae, Streptophyta, Magnoliopsida, Fabales, Fabaceae. The record is from RefSeq and is a predicted model, not a curated record.
CCUAUAUCUAUAUAACCAUGGUAUAUUCGUGUGUAUUGUUAUCCGAGGUGGAAUUUUUUCAUUUUUUUGAGUUUUUUUUUUCUAAAAAAUAUCAAUUCAAGGGUCUUUCUGUGGCACUCAUCUUCUCCCUUUUCUUCUCUUUCUUUAUUUACGCUGUCCAUUUUUCUCUUUCUCUUAUUCUCAUUUUAAUCCCAGUUUUCUUUCUCUCUCAAAAAUGAAUGCAUAUCUCAUUCUUUGCAUGUGAAAUUAAUCCAUGUUCAAUAUCACUCUGGGUCCAUUUUCUUUUCUUCUCUGGAAUUUCAAUCCAUCUCUUAUAGUUGUGAACCAUCAAACGCUCUUUAGGGAUUAUGAUGGAAAUCUGUCGAGUUGAAGAGAGGCGCUGAGGAGGAACGAUCAAUUGUCGUGAUGAGAUUCAACAACAGAUUCUUCAGGAGAGAGCAAGAGCGCGCUUAACAUCUGGGUGGACAAGAUGAGAAUCGUUCAUGAGUUCUUUCUCUCUCUAGAAUCUGCACUCUAGAUCAGAAGAACACACUCAAUUUCAUCGGAAGAACCUUUUCAUUCUCUGUUCCAUCAGCUUCGGUUUUCUUGUGUCCGCACAAUGGAGUGGUACGACCGGUCCAGUUAGGGUUCCCGAUCUGAUCCAUCGCCGGAGUGGACUGGAACUCGUCUCGAAGAGCCGGUGUGGCAAAUUGGGUUGGAUGCUGAAAAGGAAUCUUAUCCCCAAAGGCCUGGUGAGGCUGAUUGUAUCUACUAUUUGAGGACUGGAUUCUGUGGCUAUGGUUUUCGCUGUCGUUUCAACCAUCCCCGUGACUAGGUCGAGGUUGUUGGUGCUGUUGCUAAGACUAGAGGAGGGGAGUACUCGGAGCGAAUUGGCCAGCCUUUAUGCCAGUAUUACAUGAAGACAGGGUCAUGCAAAUAUGGUUCUUCCUUCAAGUACAACAAUCCUAGGCAGGCUGGAGGCUCUGCUACCCCUAUGUCACUAAAUUAUAAACGUGGAGGAGAUGAAGAUGAGUUUUAUAUCUCCAUGUUUUCAAGUUGUGGAUGCAUUUGUGUGCUGUACGUUUAUUUUCCUGAGAGUAUUCUGAGAUAUGCUCUAUGACCAUGUUGCUUGGUAACUCUGUUUUGGUUCCUUUUUCUCUUUCAUGGUUAAUUUUAAUUGCUUUUAAUGAUAGUUAUAAGGCAUCAUACUGUUCAAAUGGAAAAAGACAAAUGAGAAUCAAAAUAAAAUACAUGAAUAGAAGAUAUGGUAUGUAUUAUGUAAGCUCUUCUUUAUUUGUUUGAUUAUAAGCUUUAGGCUAUUCCUUUUUCUAAUUAGUUUGUGAGGACCUUUUAUUUGAUAGAAAAUGGUAUAUAGAAAUACUAGCUUUACUUGAUUUAAAUUCUGUAACAUGCUACCACACAGAGCUUUACGCUUAAGCCGUUAAACAGAGGUGGUGUGGUAUUACGGCCUUUGAAAUAAAAUAUAUGCAUAUAGUAGUAGAAAGAACAUAAUAACUAGGAGCCUUGAAAAACAGGUGAAACAAAGUUCGCAAAAUAAAAAGCGCAACGCUCAGGAAACAAGAUAACUUGCGUGCGAAGAAACCUACAGAUCAUAGGUAUAAAGAGAUAGAAAGAGAGAAUAGAGAGUCAAAGAUACAGAAUAACUAGCUCCUAACUUGGCUGGCCGGAGAAUAUUUACAUACAUAUAUAUAUCUCCCAUCAACCCAAAAUACAAAGAUAAAACCUUAACUCUCCUUAAACCUCUAAGAGGAACAAAAUAAACAAGUUAUUCAGAGAGAAAGCUAAGUGCAUACAUAUAUACAUAAACUGUAUAGCAAAAGAAACCCAGAAACUACUCCGCGUUAGAAGUUCAGAUACCUACCGAGGAGCCUCCCGACCUGCAUUUGAAAAAUACCAACACAGUAUGGGGUGAGAACCAGAUGUUCUCAGCAUGGUAAAGGUGCCACACACAUAAUAUAUAAGGUCCUGGGAAUGCAAGAGGCAAUCCUAGAACGCCGAUACUCAGAUUAUAAAGCUUAAAAUACUAAACAGAAACCAUAAAAAGGGGUAGGUAUCUAGGGAAAAUCUAAACUCAGCUUAACUUAAUCUUAACCUCAUGUUGACCACCUUUUCUCCAUUCUUCUAUCUCCAGUGAGUUUGCACAAACAGACAAACAGACAAUUGUAAGCACAGGUAGGAGACAAGAAGUGCAAGUAACAAAUAUAGCAAUUAACAAAGUAUAUAUAGUUAGGCACUCCCAAAUAAUGCAUAGCGAACAAACAAACAUAAUGCACAUAAUGUAUGCCUGUCCUAUGGCUGAUGAGGCUCAUCUGUCGGUUAUCAAGUCAACCCGACAAGUCUGAAACCCUUGGACUGUCCCUUGUCGCGCAUCCCCAUGA